CCUACGGGCGACAGCAGUGGGGAAUAUUGGGCAAUGGGCGCAAGCCUGACCCAGCAACGCCGCGUGAAGGAAGAAGGCUUUCGGGUUGUAAACUUCUUUUGUCAGGGAAGAGUAGAAGACGGUACCUGACGAAUAAGCCACGGCUAACUACGUGCCAGCAGCCGCGGUAAUACGUAGGUGGCAAGCGUUGUCCGGAUUUACUGGGUGUAAAGGGCGUGUAGCCGGGUUGACAAGUCAGAUGUGAAAUCCUGCGGCUUAACCGCAGAACUGCAUUUGAAACUGUUGAUCUUGAGUACUGGAGAGGCAGGCGGAAUUCGUAGUGUAGCGGUGAAAUGCGUAGAUAUUGGGAGGAACACCAGUGGCGAAGGCGGUCUGCUGGACAGCAACUGACGGUGAGGCGCGAAAGCGUGGGGAGCAAACAGGAUUAGAUACCCGAGUAGUC
This 442-nucleotide ribosomal RNA is filed under the name uncultured bacterium. Its description in RNAcentral is "partial 16S ribosomal RNA". It matches the Rfam family "Bacterial small subunit ribosomal RNA", at positions 338 to 795 of the family's 1533-position model. The record is from RNAcentral.